CGCGCCACCUCGGGGUGCGCCUUCGGUGCUGAGAUCACACCCGUAGAACCUGAACCGGCUAGAACCGGCGGAGGGAAGGUAUGGACUGGCUCC
This 93-nucleotide non-coding RNA is filed under the name Phaeobacter inhibens. RNAcentral's name for it is "TPP sequence". It matches the Rfam family "TPP riboswitch aptamer (THI element)". From Rfam's summary of the family: Vitamin B(1) in its active form thiamin pyrophosphate (TPP) is an essential coenzyme that is synthesised by coupling of pyrimidine and thiazole moieties in bacteria. The record is from RNAcentral. Lineage: Bacteria; Pseudomonadati; Pseudomonadota; Alphaproteobacteria; Rhodobacterales; Roseobacteraceae.